This 65-nucleotide transfer RNA is filed under the name Dipodomys ordii (Ord's kangaroo rat). It matches the Rfam family "tRNA". Rfam says of the family: Transfer RNA (tRNA) molecules are approximately 80 nucleotides in length. The record is from Rfam by way of RNAcentral. Lineage: Eukaryota; Metazoa; Chordata; Mammalia; Rodentia; Heteromyidae.
GGUGGCUCAGUGGUAGAGUGCUUGCCUGGCAUGCAUGAGGCCCUGGGUUCCAUUCCUCAGCACCA